GACGAACGCUGGCGGCGUGCUUAACACAUGCAAGUCGAACGGAAAGGCCCUGCUUUUGUGGGGUGCUCGAGUGGCGAACGGGUGAGUAACACGUGAGUAACCUGCCCUUGACUUUGGGAUAACUUCAGGAAACUGGGGCUAAUCCCGGAUAGGAGCUCCUGCUGCAUGGUGGGGGUUGGAAAGGUUCGGCGGUUGGGGAUGGACUCGCGGCUUAUCAGCUUGUUGGUGGGGUAGUGGCUUACCACGGCUUGGACGGGUAGCCGGCCUGAGAGGGUGACCGGCCACAAUGGGACUGAGAGACGGCCCAGAGGGCUACGGGGGGCAGCGGGCGGGAAUAUUGCACAGUGAGGGGGAGUGUGAUACAGCAGCGCCGCGUGCGGGAUGACGGCCUUCGGGGUGUAAACCGCUGUCGGCUGUGACGAAGCGUGAGUGACGGUAAUGGGUAAAGAAGCACCGGCUAACUACGUG
RNAcentral lists this ribosomal RNA (468 nucleotides) under uncultured bacterium. RNAcentral describes it as "partial 16S ribosomal RNA". It matches the Rfam family "Bacterial small subunit ribosomal RNA", at positions 28 to 507 of the family's 1533-position model. The record is from RNAcentral.